This 1193-nucleotide long non-coding RNA is filed under the name Sparus aurata (gilthead seabream). Its description in RNAcentral is "lncRNA (ENSSAUG00010000218.1)". Lineage: Eukaryota; Metazoa; Chordata; Actinopteri; Spariformes; Sparidae. The record is from RNAcentral.
GGCAGUUCACUUUAGAAUUUUGAAUGACAGAGUGUUCUUUGUGAAAGCAAGAGAUUUUCUUCAUGAAAAUUGUGCCAAAUGCAGAGAAUUGUGUGUAGUGUUUUGAAAAAAGGGUGUUUUAGAACUGCAAUUUGAGUGUAAAGCAGGAAUUGUGCUUGUAGUUUAGCAGAAGAUGUUAAAUAAGAGAGAGCUGGAAGAGGUUUAAAAGGUGAAAACAUAAAAAGCUGUAGAGUAAGAGGGCUGGAAGAGGUUAAAAGGUGAAAAAAUAUGAACAGUUGUAGAGUAAGAGUGCUGGAAGAGGUUAAAAUGGUGAUAACAUAUGAAAAGCUGUAGAGUAAGAGGCCUGGAAGAGGUUAAAAAGGUGAAAAAAGGAUGAAAAGUUAAAAAAGUUUGAGGGUGAAAGAGCUAAAAUAGGUGAGAAAAGGAUGAAAAUUUAAAAAAGUUUGAGGGUGAAAGAGCUCAAAUAGGUGAGAAAAGGAUGAAAGGUAAAAAGAUGUAGAGUAAGAGGGUUGGAAGAGGUUAAAAAGGUUAAAAGAAUAUGAAAAUCUGUAGAAUAAGAGGGCUGGGAGAGGUUGAAAAGGUGAAUAAAGGAUGACAAGCAGUAGAGUAAGAGGCCUGGAAGAGGUUAAAAGGUGAAAACAUAUGAACAGCUGUAGAGUAAGAGGGCGGAAUGAGCUUAAUAAGGAGAAAAAAAGACUGAAAAGGCCAAAAAGUUCUAGAGUAAGAGGGCAGAAAGAGGUUAAAAAGGUGAAAAACGGCUGACAGGUGAGAAGUUAAAGGCAGAAAGAGCUUCAAAUGGUUGCAGACAUGCUGCAGCAGGAGCAGAAACACAGACGAAAGUGUCCCCAUAAGGAAUGAAUGGGAAAAUGCCUGCCAAACUCCUGCGAUUUUUGGGAAACUGUUAUAGUCAUCGGCAAAACGUGCUACAUGUUGAGUUACAGGAGACAUUGCUGAACGCACUCAUGUCAUUUAUAUUUCUGUAAAGUGCAUAAUGAGGACACAGGAGCGAGAGACAAAACAUGUACCGUCUGCGAUCCUCCAGAAAUUUUGGCUCAAAAUUAACAUUGCGGGAACAUUCAGGAGUGCUUGUCGCUCUCGGGCUUCUAAAUCCAAAACCGUAAGUCCUAGAGCUGAAAUGAGACCAUCAGCUGAAACCCAACGGGAUUUCCCACAUUUAUAUGCCUAUAUUGUCU